This 311-nucleotide ribosomal RNA is filed under the name Escherichia coli. RNAcentral's name for it is "bacterial SSU rRNA". It matches the Rfam family "Bacterial small subunit ribosomal RNA", at positions 660 to 970 of the family's 1533-position model. RNAcentral also lists the same sequence under 2 other names. Lineage: Bacteria; Pseudomonadati; Pseudomonadota; Gammaproteobacteria; Enterobacterales; Enterobacteriaceae. The record is from RNAcentral.
GGUAGAAUUCCAGGUGUAGCGGUGAAAUGCGUAGAGAUCUGGAGGAAUACCGGUGGCGAAGGCGGCCCCCUGGACGAAGACUGACGCUCAGGUGCGAAAGCGUGGGGAGCAAACAGGAUUAGAUACCCUGGUAGUCCACGCCGUAAACGAUGUCGACUUGGAGGUUGUGCCCUUGAGGCGUGGCUUCCGGAGCUAACGCGUUAAGUCGACCGCCUGGGGAGUACGGCCGCAAGGUUAAAACUCAAAUGAAUUGACGGGGGCCCGCACAAGCGGUGGAGCAUGUGGUUUAAUUCGAUGCAACGCGAAGAACC